GACAGAGGGGGCACGCGUUGUCCGGAGUUACUGGGCGUAAAGGGCGCGGAAGCGGUCUGCGGCGUCGGCGCUGAAAGCGACGCGCAAAACGGGGCGAGGCGUGCCGAUACGCGCAGACUUGAGGCGAGCAGAGGGUGGUGGAAUUCCGGGUGGAGCGGUGAAAUGCGUAGAGAUCCGGAGGAACGCCAGUGGGGAAGCCGGCCACCUGGGCUCGUCCUGACGCUGCGGCGCGACCGCGUGGGGAGCAAACCGG
Molecule: ribosomal RNA, 253 nt
Filed under: uncultured bacterium
Lineage: Bacteria
Description: partial 16S ribosomal RNA
Rfam family: Bacterial small subunit ribosomal RNA
Source: RNAcentral